This 641-nucleotide ribosomal RNA is filed under the name uncultured bacterium. Its description in RNAcentral is "bacterial SSU rRNA". It matches the Rfam family "Bacterial small subunit ribosomal RNA", at positions 32 to 668 of the family's 1533-position model. The record is from RNAcentral.
AACGCUAGCUACAGGCUUAACACAUGCAAGUCGAGGGGUAACGGAGUGGGAAGCUUGCUUCCCUUGCCGACGACCGGCGAAUGGGUGAGUAACGCGUAUCCAACCUGCCCGCAUCCCGGGGAUAGCCCUUAGAAAUGAGGAUUAAUACCCGAUAUGCCACGGAGCCGCAUGACUCCGUGAUGAAACAGGAUGCGGAUGGGGAUGCGUACGAUUAGCUGGUUGGCGGGGUAACGGCCCACCAAGGCUACGAUCGUUAGGGGUUCUGAGAGGAAGGUCCCCCACAUUGGUACUGAGACACGGACCAAACUCCUACGGGAGGCAGCAGUGAGGAAUAUUGGUCAAUGGGCGAGAGCCUGAACCAGCCAAGUAGCGUGUAGGAAGACUGCCCUAUGGGUUGUAAACUACUUUUGUGCGGGAAUAAAAAAUGCCACGUGUGGCAUCUUGCAUGUACCGUUACGAAUAAGGACCGGCUAAUUCCGUGCCAGCAGCCGCGGUAAUACGGAAGGUCCGAGCGUUAUCCGGAUUUAUUGGGUUUAAAGGGUGCGUAGGCGGCAUGUCAAGUCAGCCGUGAAAUUGCGGGGCUCAACCCCGUACUGCGGUUGAGACUGGCGCGCUUGAGUGCGGGAGAGGAAGAUGGAAUU